UGGCGGCGUGCUUAACACAUGCAAGUCGAACGGAAAGGCCCUGCUUUUGUGGGGUGCUCGAGUGGCGAACGGGUGAGUAACACGUGAGUAACCUGCCCUUGACUUUGGGAUAACUUCAGGAAACUGGGGCUAAUACCGGAUAGGAGCUCCUGCUGCAUGGUGGGGGUUGGAAAGUUUCGGCGGUUGGGGAUGGACUCGCGGCUUAUCAGCUUGUUGGUGGGGUAGUGGCUUACCAAGGCUUUGACGGGUAGCCGGCCUGAGAGGGUGACCGGCCACAUUGGGACUGAGAUACGGCCCAGACUCCUACGGGAGGCAGCAGUGGGGAAUAUUGCACAAUGGGCGGAAGCCUGAUGCAGCAACGCCGCGUGCGGGAUGACGGCCUUCGGGUUGUAAACCGCUUUCGCCUGUGACGAAGCGUGAGUGACGGUAAUGGGUAAAGAAGCACCGGCUAACUACGUGCCAGCAGCCGCGGUGAUACGUAGGGUGCGAGCGUUGUCCGGAUUUAUUGGGCGUAAAGGGCUCGUAGGUGGUUGAUCGCGUCGGAAGUGUAAUCUUGGGGCUUAACCCUGAGCGUGCUUUCGAUACGGGUUGACUUGAGGAAGGUAGGGGAGAAUGGAAUUCCUGGUGGAGCGGUGGAAUGCGCAGAUAUCAGGAGGAACACCAGUGGCGAAGGCGGUUCUCUGGGCCUUUCCUGACGCUGAGGAGCGAAAGCGUGGGGAGCGAACAGGCUUAGAUACCCUGGUAGUCCACGCUGUAAACGGUGGGUACUAGGUGUGGGGUCCAUUCCACGGGUUCCGUGCCGUAGCUAACGCUUUAAGUACCCCGCCUGGGGAGUACGGCCGCAAGGCUAAAACUCAAAGGAAUUGACGGGGCCCCGCACAAGCGGCGGAGCAUGCGGAUUAAUUCGAUGCAACGCGUAGAACCUUACCUGGGUUUGACAUGGAUCGGGAGUGCUCAGAGAUGGGUGUGCCUCUUUUGGGGUCGGUUCACAGGUGGUGCAUGGCUGUCGUCAGCUCGUGUCGUGAGAUGUUGGGUUAAGUCCCGCAACGAGCGCAACCCUUGUUCACUGUUGCCAGCACGUUAUGGUGGGGACUCAGUGGAGACCGCCGGGGUCAACUCGGAGGAAGGUGGGGAUGACGUCAAGUCAUCAUGCCCCUUAUGUCCAGGGCUUCACGCAUGCUACAAUGGCUGGUACAGAGAGUGGCGAGCCUGUGAGGGUGAGCGAAUCUCGGAAAGCCGGUCUCAGUUCGGAUUGGGGUCUGCAACUCGACCUCAUGAAGUCGGAGUCGCUAGUAAUCGCAGAUCAGCAACGCUGCGGUGAAUACGUUCCCGGGGCUUGUACACACCGCCCGUCAAGUCAUGAAAGUUGGUAACACCCGAAGCCGGUGGCCUAACCAUUGUGGGGGAGCCGUCGAAGGUGGGACUGGUGAUUAGGAC
Molecule: ribosomal RNA, 1437 nt
Filed under: uncultured organism
Description: partial small subunit ribosomal RNA
Rfam family: Bacterial small subunit ribosomal RNA
Source: RNAcentral